RNAcentral lists this ribosomal RNA (1676 nucleotides) under Aliarcobacter butzleri. Its description in RNAcentral is "partial 23S ribosomal RNA". It matches the Rfam family "Bacterial large subunit ribosomal RNA", at positions 1260 to 2925 of the family's 2925-position model. The record is from RNAcentral. Lineage: Bacteria; Pseudomonadati; Campylobacterota; Epsilonproteobacteria; Campylobacterales; Arcobacteraceae.
ACCGGUAAGGAGCGUUGGAGCGGAUAGAAGUGAGCAUGCAGGCAUGAGUAGCGAUAAUUGAGGUGAGAAUCCUCAACGCCGAAAACCCAAGGUUUCCUACGCGAUGCUCGUCAUCGUAGGGUUAGUCGGGACCUAAGUCGAGUCCGAAAGGGGUAGACGAUGGCAAAUUGAUUAAUAUUUCAAUACCAACAUAUAAGCGCGAUGUGGGGACGCAUAGAGUUAAUCGAGGUCACUGAUGGAAUAGUGGCUCGAAGGACGUAGGCUGUUAAGUAGGCAAAUCCGCUUAACAUUAGGCCGAGAUCUUACAGGCUCUUGACACUCUUCGGAGGAGAUGGAGAAUCGAUGAUACUGUCGUGCCAAGAAAAGCCACUAAGUUUAUUAUAUGUUGCCCGUACCGUAAACCGACACAGGUGGGUGGGAUGAGUAUUCUAAGGCGCGUGGAAGAACCCUGGUUAAGGAACUCUGCAAACUAGCACCGUAUCUUCGGUAUAAGGUGUGCCUACUUUUGUAUAUGAACUUGCUUCAAAAAGCGAAAGAGGUUGCAACAAAGAGUCCCUCCCGACUGUUUACCAAAAACACAGCACUUUGCUAACACGUAAGUGGAUGUAUAAGGUGUGACGCCUGCCCGGUGCUCGAAGGUUAACUGAUGAUGUCAGCGCAAGCGAAGCAUUUGAUUGAAGCCCGAGUAAACGGCGGCCGUAACUAUAACGGUCCUAAGGUAGCGAAAUUCCUUGUCGGUUAAAUACCGACCUGCAUGAAUGGCGUAACGAGAUGGGAGCUGUCUCAACCAGGGAUCCAGUGAAAUUGUAGUGGAGGUGAAAAUUCCUCCUACCCGCGGAAAGACGGAAAGACCCCGUGCACCUUUACUACAGCUUGACACUGUAGCUUGGAUAUUCAUGUGCAGGAUAGGUGGGAGGCUAUGAUGACUAGACGCCAGUAGAGUCGGAGCCAUCCUUGAGAUACCACCCUUGAAUAUUUGAGUUACUAACUGCGUACAAUUAUCUUGUAUCAGGACAAUGUCUGGUGGGUAGUUUGACUGGGGCGGUCGCCUCCUAAAAAGUAACGGAGGCUUACAAAGGUUAGUUCAAAGCGGAUGGAAAUCGCUUGUUGAGUAUAAUGGCAUAAACUAGCUUGACUGUGAGACAUACAAGUCGAACAGAGACGAAAGUCGGUCAUAGUGAUCCGGUGGUUCUGUGUGGAAGGGCCAUCGCUCAAAGGAUAAAAGGUACGCCGGGGAUAACAGGCUGAUCUCCCCCAAGAGCUCACAUCGACGGGGAGGUUUGGCACCUCGAUGUCGGCUCAUCGCAUCCUGGGGCUGUAGUCGGUCCCAAGGGUAUGGCUGUUCGCCAUUUAAAGCGGUACGCGAGCUGGGUUCAGAACGUCGUGAGACAGUUCGGUCCCUAUCUUCCGUGGGCGUAGGAAAGUUGAAGAGAUUUGUCCCUAGUACGAGAGGACCGGGAUGAACGUACCACUGGUGUACCAAUUGUUCUGCCAAGAGCAUCGUUGGGUAGCUACGUACGGAUGUGAUAAGAGCUGAAAGCAUCUAAGCUCGAAGCCAACUCUAAGAUUAACUUUCCCUGAAGUUCCCAGCAAGACUAGCUGGUUGAUAGGCUGGAUGUGUAAGCGUUGUAAGACGUUUAGCUGACCAGUACUAAUAGAACGUUUGGCUUAUUUUU